AGAGUUUGAUCCUGGCUCAGGACGAACGCUGGCGGCGUGCCUAAUACAUGCAAGUCGAGCGGACAGAUGGGAGCUUGCUCCCUGAUGUUAGCGGCGGACGGGUGAGUAACACGUGGGUAACCUGCCUGUAAGACUGGGAUAACUCCGGGAAACCGGGGCUAAUACCGGAUGGUUGUUUGAACCGCAUGGUUCAAACAUAAAAGGUGGCUUCGGCUACCACUUACGGAUGGACCCGCGGCGCAUUAGCUAGUUGGUGAGGUAACGGCUCACCAAGGCGACGAUGCGUAGCCGACCUGAGAGGGUGAUCGGCCACACUGGGACUGAGACACGGCCCAGACUCCUACGGGAGGCAGCAGUAGGGAAUCUUCCGCAAUGGACGAAAGUCUGACGGAGCAACGCCGCGUGAGUGAUGAAGGUUUUCGGAUCGUAAAGCUCUGUUGUUAGGGAAGAACAAGUGCCGUUCGAAUAGGGCGGUACCUUGACGGUACCUAACCAGAAAGCCACGGCUAACUACGUGCCAGCAGCCGCGGUAAUACGUAGGUGGCAAGCGUUGUCCGGAAUUAUUGGGCGUAAAGGGCUCGCAGGCGGUUUCUUAAGUCUGAUGUGAAAGCCCCCGGCUCAACCGGGGAGGGUCAUUGGAAACUGGGGAACUUGAGUGCAGAAGAGGAGAGUGGAAUUCCACGUGUAGCGGUGAAAUGCGUAGAGAUGUGGAGGAACACCAGUGGCGAAGGCGACUCUCUGGUCUGUAACUGACGCUGAGGAGCGAAAGCGUGGGGAGCGAACAGGAUUAGAUACCCUGGUAGUCCACGCCGUAAACGAUGAGUGCUAAGUGUUAGGGGGUUUCCGCCCCUUAGUGCUGCAGCUAACGCAUUAAGCACUCCGCCUGGGGAGUACGGUCGCAAGACUGAAACUCAAAGGAAUUGACGGGGGCCCGCACAAGCGGUGUAGCAUGUGGUUUAAUUCGAAGCAACGCGAAGAACCUUACCAGGUCUUGACAUCCUCUGACAAUCCUAGAGAUAGGACGUCCCCUUCGGGGGCAGAGUGACAGGUGGUGCAUGGUUGUCGUCAGCUCGUGUCGUGAGAUGUUGGGUUAAGUCCCGCAACGAGCGCAACCCUUGAUCUUAGUUGCCAGCAUUCAGUUGGGCACUCUAAGGUGACUGCCGGUGACAAACCGGAGGAAGGUGGGGAUGACGUCAAAUCAUCAUGCCCCUUAUGACCUGGGCUACACACGUGCUACAAUGGACAGAACAAAGGGCAGCGAAACCGCGAGGUUAAGCCAAUCCCACAAAUCUGUUCUCAGUUCGGAUCGCAGUCUGCAACUCGACUGCGUGAAGCUGGAAUCGCUAGUAAUCGCGGAUCAGCAUGCCGCGGUGAAUACGUUCCCGGGCCUUGUACACACCGCCCGUCACACCACGAGAGUUUGUAACACCCGAAGUCGGUGAGGUAACCUUUUAGGAGCCAGCCGCCGAAGGUGGGACAGAUGAUUGGGGUGAAGUCGGAACAAGGUA
RNAcentral lists this ribosomal RNA (1508 nucleotides) under metagenome. Its description in RNAcentral is "bacterial SSU rRNA". It matches the Rfam family "Bacterial small subunit ribosomal RNA". The record is from RNAcentral.